RNAcentral lists this ribosomal RNA (373 nucleotides) under uncultured organism. RNAcentral describes it as "bacterial SSU rRNA". It matches the Rfam family "Bacterial small subunit ribosomal RNA", at positions 526 to 896 of the family's 1533-position model. The record is from RNAcentral.
CGUAGGACCCAAGCGUUAUCCGGAAUUACUGGGCGUAAAGAGUUGCGUAGGUGGUUUGUUAAGUGAAUAGUGAAAUCGUGCGGCUCAACCGUAUACACAUUAUUUAAACUGGCAGACUUGAGUAUGGUAGAGGUCACUGGAAUUCCAAGUGUAGGAGUGAAAUCCGUAGAUAUUUGGAGGAACACCGAUGGCGUAGGCAGGUGACUGGGCCAUUACUGACACUGAGGCACGAAAGCGUGGGGAGCAAACGGGAUUAGAUACCCCGGUAGUCCACGCCCUAAACUAUGGAUGCUAGCAGUUUCGAGUAUCGACCCUCGAAGUUGCGAAGCUAACGCGUUAAGCAUCCCGCCUGUGGAGUACGAGCGCAAGCUUA